Drosophila ananassae is the source of this 2141-nucleotide RNA transcript. It is a transcript of the gene named endoplasmic reticulum junction formation protein lunapark, with no coding region annotated. NCBI's taxonomy places the organism in Eukaryota, Metazoa, Arthropoda, Insecta, Diptera, Drosophilidae. The transcript is spliced from 7 exons. The record is from RefSeq and is a predicted model, not a curated record.
AUAUAUUGAUAUUUCAUCAACAACCCUAAAAACAACAAAUAGUUCAUAGCAGGCGGUUUAAAUAGCAAAAUAAUCAAGUAAAUGUUCGAGUUGGUUCGCUUUUAGUUAUAUUUCUCUACCUACACCAUGGGAUUCGUGCUGUCCAAGUUCCGGAAGGAAAAGUCUACGGAGGCGGUCUUGGAGGGGCUGCAGACGCAGAUCCAGGCAUUGGAGAAGUACAUGAUAAACACUGAGGAGCGGAAACGGCGCUUCGUCACCAAUUUUGUUGGCUUCACCAUUGGCGCCUAUAUCGUGGGCUUCGGACUAUGGUACUUCUUCUACUUUCCGCCAACACUGCAGGAAUGCUUCAUGUACUUGGUUCCGCUACUCCUCUUUCCGAUUGUAAUCAUAUUUCUGAGGCGUCUGUUUACGUGGUACUUUCAACGAAAGCUCAACAAAAAUGGCGAUAAGCUGGCGCGGCUGAAGGAGGACAAGCGCAAGAUAUUGGAACAGGUCAUGGACAAAGAGACCUACAAGGUGGCAGUGAAUCUCCUGGAGCGCUUCGGGGACAAGAAACAGCUCCGUCUGACCAAUCCCAGCAAUCAGGCACUAAACCGAACUACUGUCGAACAGCAAAGGACGCCACAGCCGGCGGCACGACUUUCCACGACCAUCGCUGGCGGCCAGCAGCCGAGCCAGCGGUCGGUCACUCCCUAUAGCAGCGUUUACCGAAACAACAAUAACAACAACACCACCCUGAACAGCAGCAUCGCCAGCACCCAGUCGAUGACGUUGACGUCAGCAUCACCGCAGAUGCGCGCCGUUCAGGAACUCCGACGCCGCUCACCCUUCCCCAUCGUCGAUGAGCGUUCUCGCAGCGCUAUCGAUCGAAUUGUGGACUUCAUUGUGGGCGAUACGCCACAGAAUCGCUUCGGCAUGAUCUGCAAGGCGUGCCACGCUCACAACGGUAUGCUGCACAAGGAAGAGUAUGAGUACACCACGUUCCGGUGUGCCUUCUGCAAUGUACUUAAUCCGGCACGAAAGAAGCGUCCCGUCGCCCCCCGACUUUCUCUGGAGGCACCAACGCCUGCGACGACCAAGCGGAACGUUAGUUCCGAGAGUGAAUCAUCUGAUGAUGAGUCUGAUAAGGAACCAUCAGCACGACGUGCCCUGCUACAGGAUGUGCCAUCGAGUGAAGCUGUUAGUAACGCCACCGUCGUAACAGAAGAGACUGUAACUGAGAGCGAAACAACCGAGACUGGACCUGACGUCAGCAUGGCUGAGGUGGCCGCCAGCUCCUGAGGGCACUUCUAACCCAAUAUAAAAUACCCAACCACCACAAUGUCUAGGCGCCAGUCAAGCAAAAUUCUUGGAUUAUUUGCUUAUUAGUUAACAUAUUUAAUAUUUUGUUGAAUACCAUAUGAUAAUGCUUCGAAGUGUCGUGUCAACUUUCUUGCUGCGGUGGGUCAGCCACCUAGGCCACCUUGAGGUGUGGGCGGUGGUGGCGGCGUCGUCACACCCCUUGCAACUGUCAGCAUAGAAGGAAAUUGAUAAUUAAAAUCUAGGCAAAAUAAGGCGACAACUAAUGGCAUAAUAAUUUAAAGCACGCUCUGCGGCAUGUGUGACAAAAAAGGCAAACAACGGCCGACAACGAUGGCGAUAUCUCUUUGCCCAGGGGCUACAGUGGAUAGUACUCCAAGUCACUUACAAGCCCGAGAACACACUCACACACAUGUGUGUGCCGCUCCAGACUACGAGCACUGCAUUAUGCGAACGGUCAACAAUUUCAAUUUCGCUGGCUUUUAUUUUUGCUUUAUUCUGUUUUUCCGGGCCAUUGAUCAAGGCUAACGAGAUCGAUCGGCUGGCCGGGCUGGCCUGGCCUGGCCUGGCCUGGCUGCCUGGUUGGUGGUGCAGCAGUGGUGCAGCAAACGUAACAUAACGCAUUAGCCGGCCAACACCACCAGUGCCCACCUACACGAAGAAAAAAUGCCUAGAUAUGACCAGAAAUUGCUCUGAAUUUGGAAAAACACUUGUGGGAAAUGGAAGACUAUUAAUAAAUUAGUUGCAGAAUAAAAUACUAUGUUUUAGUUUCCAAUAGGAAGAUAUUUGGUGGAAGCUUAAAAAUAAUGGACAAUUUUUAAUAAAUAGAGUUCUAAAAUCAA